GUUUGAUCCUGGCUCAGGAUGAACGCUGGCUGUGUGCCUAAUACAUGCAUGUCGAACGAAGUACUUGUACUUAGUGGCAAAUGGGUGAGUAACACGUACCUAACUUGCCUUUUAGAUUGGGACAACCACGGGAAACUGUGGCUAAUACCAAAUAUGUAUAAUUAACAUAUGUUUUUUAUAUGAAAGGAAGCGAUUGCUUUGCUAAAAGAUAGGGGUGCGCUACAUUAGCUUGCUGGUAGGGUAAAAGCCUACCAAGGCUAUGAUGUAUAGUGGGAUCGAGAGGUUGAACCACCACACUGGGAUUGAGAUACGGCCCAGACUCCUACGGGAGGCAGCAGUAGGGAAUAUUCCACAAUGAGCGAAAGCUUGAUGGAGCGACACAGCGUGUAGGAUGAAUGCCUUAGGGUUGUAAACUACUGUUAUAAGAGAAGAAUAGCUAAAAAAGGAAAUGUUUUUAGUCUGACGGUAUCUUAUCAGAAAGCAGUUGCAAACUAUGUGCCAGCAGCAGCGGUAAUACAUAGACUGCAAGCGUUAUCCGGAAUUAUUGGGCGUAAAGCAUUCGUAGGUUGUUUAUUAAGUUUGGUGUUAAAAACAAAAGCUCAACUUUUGUUUGCAUUAAAUACUAAUAGACUAGAGUUAUAAAGAGGUUAAUGGAACUCCAUAUGAAGCGGUGGAAUGCGUAGAUAUGUGGAAGAACACCAAUGGCGAAGGCAAUUAACUGGAUAUACACUGACACUGAGGGAUGAAAGCGUGGGGAGCAAACAGGAUUAGAUACCCUGGUAGUCCACGCUGUAAACGAUGUUUGUUAAUCGGUGGUGAAAUCACUGACACAGCUAACGCAAUAAACAAACCGCCUGAGUAGUAUGCUCGCAAGAGUGAAACUUAAAGGAAUUGACGGGGAGCCGCACAAGCGGUGGAGCAUGUGGUUUAAUUCGAAGAUACGCGAAGCACCUUACCAACAUUUGACAUCUUUUGCAAAGGCAUAGAGAUAUGCUGGAGGAUAACAAAAAGACAGGUGGUGCAUGGCCGUCGUCAGCUCGUGCCGUGAGGUGUUGGGUUAAGUCCUAUAACGAGCGCAACCCUUUUCUUUAGUUACUAACAUUUAGUUGAGCACUCUAAAGAUACUGCCUAGGUAACUAGGAGGAAGGAGGGGAUGAGGUAGGUCAUCAUGCCUCUUACAUGUUGGGUUACACACGUGCUACAAUGGCAAAUACAAAGAGAAGCAAAAUCGUGAGGUGGAGCAAAUCUGUAAAAUUUGUCUCAGUUCGGAUUGGAGUCUGCAACUCGACUCCAUGAAGUGGGAAUCGCUAGUAAUCCUAGAUCAUCAAUGCUAGGGUGAAUACGUUCUCGGCUCUUGUACACACCGCCCGUCAAACCAUGGGAGUUGGUAAUACCCAAAGCUAGUUAGUUAACCAUUUAUUUGGAGGCAACUAUCUAAGGUAGGAUCAAUGACUGGGGUUAAGUCGUAACAAGGUAACC
RNAcentral lists this ribosomal RNA (1479 nucleotides) under uncultured Mycoplasma sp. Its description in RNAcentral is "bacterial SSU rRNA". It matches the Rfam family "Bacterial small subunit ribosomal RNA". Lineage: Bacteria; Bacillati; Mycoplasmatota; Mollicutes; Mycoplasmatales; Mycoplasmataceae. The record is from RNAcentral.